RNAcentral lists this ribosomal RNA (432 nucleotides) under uncultured bacterium. RNAcentral describes it as "partial 16S ribosomal RNA". It matches the Rfam family "Bacterial small subunit ribosomal RNA", at positions 338 to 795 of the family's 1533-position model. The record is from RNAcentral.
CCUACGGGAGGCUGCAGUCGAGAAUCUUCCACAAUGGACGAAAGUCUGAUGGAGCGACGCCGCGUGAUCGAUGAAGUGCUUCGGUAUGUAAAGAUCUUUUAUGAGGGAAGCGGUACCUCAUGAAUAAGGGCCUGCAAAACUCGUGCCAGCAGCAGCGGUAAUACGAGUGGCUCAAGCGUUAUCCGGAAUUAUUGGGCGUAAAGGAUGUGUAGGUGGUUAUGUUAGUUAAGUGUCCAACCUCUGGGCUCAACCUGGAGAUCGCACUUAAAACGGCAUGACUAGAGUAUGUUAGGGGUAAGCGGAACUAAUAGUGUAGGGGUGAAAUCCGUUGAUAUUAUUGGGAACACCAAAAGCGAAGGCAGCUUACUGGGACAUACUGACACUGAAACAUGAAAGCGUGGGUAGCGAAUGGGAUUAGAUACCCUUGUAGUC